GACGAACGCUGGCGGCGUGCCUAAUACAUGCAAGUCGAGCGGACUUUCAAGAAGCUUGCUUUUUGAAAGUUAGCGGCGGACGGGUGAGUAACACGUGGGCAACCUGCCUGCAAGACGGGGAUAACUCCGGGAAACCGGGGCUAAUACCGGAUAAUAUCUUCCUUCGCAUGAAGGAAGGUUGAAAGGCGGCGCAAGCUGCCGCUUGCAGAUGGGCCCGCGGCGCAUUAGCUAGUUGGUGAGGUAACGGCUCACCAAGGCGACGAUGCGUAGCCGACCUGAGAGGGUGAUCGGCCAAACUGGGACUGAGACACGGCCCAGACUCCUACGGGAGGCAGCAGUAGGGAAUCUUCCGCAAUGGACGAAAGUCUGACGGAGCAACGCCGCGUGAGCGAAGAAGGUCUUCGGAUCGUAAAGCUCUGUUGUCAGGGAAGAACAAGUACCGUUCGAACAGGGCGGUACCUUGACGGUACCUGACCAGAAAGCCACGGCUAACUACGUG
This 499-nucleotide ribosomal RNA is filed under the name uncultured bacterium. RNAcentral's name for it is "partial 16S ribosomal RNA". It matches the Rfam family "Bacterial small subunit ribosomal RNA", at positions 28 to 507 of the family's 1533-position model. The record is from RNAcentral.